AAAAAAAAAAAAACUAACAUUUAAGUGCAUAAAUCCUCAAUCGUUAAAGUUUUUGAAUUAGCAAUAAAAGUUGUUGAAUUAGAAGAAUAAGGAGAAGAAGAUAAAGAUUAAUCUGCAGGCAAAACUAGUUGGAAUUGAGAGAUGCUGGUGGCCAGAGGUAGAGCUUGGGUACAGAGAGGAGAGUAAGGUAUCAGUCACCGAUGGGCAAUGGCUUCCUUUCAACACUUACGACCGUUUUCGCAAACUAACCUCGUGGGUUGUGUGAAUUAAAAGUUCAUAGCCCAUUUUAGGAUCCAACUAGAAAGCCCAAACACGCUGCUGCUGAGGCGUACAUAUACAGUCUCUGUUAGUGCUCUGGCAUAGGAAGCGAGCAAGUGCUAUGCUCUCUUUGGCUUGCCAGAAGCGAGAGCGGUACUGGAUGUUGAAAAUACACUGACCGAGCAUAGAAGCAUCGAGAAAAUGGCCUGGCAAUGGCGUUUAUUUGGUUUUCUCUCUCUCUGUUUGCUCGUAUUUUCUGCAACAACCAAUGCUUCGCAGUGCUCAAUCAAGUGGUUGCCAGUUGUGAGGAAUGUUAGUGAGCUUCCUCAGGAUGAUUAUGGAAGGCGAGGUUUGUCCCAUGUUACUGUUGCUGGUUCUGUCUUGCAUGGGAUGAAAGAGGUGGAGGUAUGGCUUCAAACUUUUUCUCCAGGCUCACGCACUCCAAUCCACAGACACUCAUGUGAAGAAGUUUUUAUUGUCCUAAAAGGAAGUGGCACUCUCUAUCUUGCCUCAAGUUCACAUGAGAAGUCUCCUGGAAAGCCACAAGAAUAUGCCAUCUUUUCCAAUAGCACAUUCCAUAUCCCUGUCAAUGAUGCUCACCAGGUCUGGAAUACAAAUGAACACGAGGAUUUGCAAGUGCUUGUCAUAAUAUCUCGUCCACCAGUCAAAGUGUUCAUAUAUGAUGACUGGUUCAUGCCCCAUACUGCAGCAAAAUUGAGGUUUCCCAUCUUUUGGGACGAACAGUGCCUACAAGUUCAAGCACCUCCAAAAGACGAGCUUUAAUAACAAGCUAUAUCUGUGUGUAUUGCUUACACGAGUCUGAUAUUUUCUGUUGUGGAUUAGUAAAUACUUGAUAUGAAAGUUUUCUCACCAAAAAGAUCGUAUGAGGCUGUUUUGUACUUGUAAAAUAACAUAAGCUGAGAAACUUACAUAUUUUGUUUCUAAGUUCUACUGCUUCCAAAUUCAUGUGGUACUAAUUUAAGUUUCAACUUAGCUCUUGGAACUCUGAGAAAUGGCAAGUUCUUAUCGGCAGGCAAGACAAGAACUGGGAAAAAGGAAUAAGAAGGAUGCAAUUUGGCUUCCUAAUAUGGUCGCCCAUAUGGAGUGGCCAGUGGGCCUAUGAUUCCAAGUAAGCAUUGCUUUGACAAUAGUUUUAAGUACAUUAUAUGUCGUAUCGUUCUUUAAGGUAGGGUAAUGGUUUCUUUUGAGAAAACAGUUUCUGGCAGAUUCUAGCAGUUCCUAUAAAGUGCAAACUUACGAGGAUAGCCGAUGUUCCAAAUUUUAAUAUGAUAUUUCAAGUUGGUUUGGAAACCAAUAUGCGCUAGACUACUAAACAAACAUAUAAUUGAGUCACAGAAAAUUGCACGAGUCUGAGCAAAUAAUUCCUGUUAAUUGCACUAAACAGUCCUUCCCAGCUGUCAUCAAAUACAUUACAUUUUUUAGCAUGCGAGAGUGACAUAACUCUAGGAACUCAUCGAUCACAAAAAGAGAUCAACGUCAUCUCUUCUUUUUGGUCAAUGAACUGCGUCGUUCAGCUUCUUUCUCUGCUACCAAAACAUGGAACUCUGACCCAAGCAUCUCAUCUAUACCAAGAUUCAAAGUGCUACUCAAGUUAAAGGCCUCCAAUAUCACUUCUAAAGUUAAACUGAAGCCCAAAGUUGACAAUACACGGACAGCAUUUGCAACCCUGCAAAUGCUCCGUCUUGUCUCUAGUGGUACGUUUUCAGAAACUCUAGUGGAUUUGGUAUUUUGUUCUUCAGUAUUGUUUAGUUGCUCUUCUGCUACAGUGUCUCUGGCAUCACAAUGUUCACCAACCCAUAUAAAUCCAUUACAUCCAAGUAUCAAGUCAACUCCAUAUUGUACCAGAUGAUGGAAAUGCUGUUUUUGUCUUUUCACUAGAUAAGGGGGGACUGUCAGCAAUUGCCCCUUCUCAAGCUGUAACAUGCAAUUAUUGUAAGUGACAAGAAUAAUGCAUAUUGCAUACAUUUGAAAGUGACUAUGCUGAGUUUUAAAGAGACUACUAAGGAAUCAAAUCUAAAAUACACACACUCUACAAAAAUGAAAGCAAAGUUUAGAUAACCUGAAUUACAGGAAAAGAUAAUGAAUCAGUAACAUUUUGCAACAACAUUUAAAAAAGAAUCCAAAGCUGAUAAUGACGUUAGUGUAACAAGUGCAAACCUAAAAGCACUUAGAUCACCUCUUUUUGUUUUACACUAGUAAAGAACAGGUUAAUCAAAUGGUUCUCAUUUUGUGUUAAAAGCACAAAUUUCAAGAAACCCAAACUAAAUAUCCUGUUUUACGAUAACUAACAUGAAUUUUACAUAUAUAUAUAUACAGAGGAAGUGUGUAAAUGGGAGAAACGGCUAUAUUAUAAAAGGUUCACAAGUGUAUCAAACCUUCCCAUACUUCUGACUUCUUGCUUGCAGUUGUAAACUCCCAUCAUUCUGAAAAUUACGAACUUCAGCCUGAAAAAGGGAAAUAACUUAUUAUUCCUGUCACUAAAUUAUGCAUUUGUUUGCCUUUAUUUAUGGUGCCACAUUAGAUUAUCAUAUAAAAAAGUAUCAACAUAAACAAUGGAAGAAUUGUGGCUGUGCACUUACACAAAUAACAUCAUUCUCCUCAAAAACAUUGCGCAUGUUCAGUUCAUCCACAGCAGUUCGCCGCCUCUAGCAAUCAAAAUUAUGAAGGUUGCAAAUAUUUAGUCAAGAAAGAAAGCAACAAACUGCCCUAGCUCUUCAAGGUAAACAGUAUCAAUGCAUGCUCCAGGCCAAGUGUUAUGAGCUUACGCUGAUCUAUCCACAAAUGAAUAGCUUAAGAGUGCAAUGAGCAUCCAAGUUGUUAACAGUCCUUCCACUGACAGUAGACUAACAGAAUGACCUUAGAAUGCAUAAACAUCUACGCUGACUGAAAGCAGCCAAGGUCCAAAGACACUUGUAAGAAAGAUGGAACCUCAACCAGCCCUAGAAACUUCCCAACCCACAUAGAAUGGGCUCAUGUCAUAGAAAUCAAUGGCAUGAUAAGGUUACAGCCAAAAUGAUGAACAAAAAUAGAGUUUAUUCUAAUGUGCUUCACAACAAGAAAAUAUUUACACAAUGGACUCAACUACUAGCAUUGCAUAAAGCUUAAGAUUGGGGCAUUUUUAUGAAGACCUCAUUAUCUUUGCAACACUUCAAUUAUAAUUGAAGCUCUUUUUCCUCAUUUUUAAUCAAUAAAAUAUUUUAAAUCCAGUAGACAGGAACUUAAAUUUCUCUCAUGUUUCCAAUAUGGCAAUCAGCCAAUCAUGCAGCAAAUGAUCAACUUCACCCACCAUGAUGAGAAAGCAGAAACUACUACUUGUAUUUAGAGAAUUAUGCUAUAAGGUAUAUUUGAUACCUGAAUACCAUCAGGCAAGUUCAUCGAAGAAAGCAUUAAAACAGCAUCUUGGUUGAAAUUUAUUUCCAAUUUCCAACGCUUUUGAGCGACCUCAACAACGCGGCCCACUAUGAUAUCUCCAAUCUCUGGCUUGAACCUGGAGCGCAAAGAUCGUACAUAGACAAGCAUGUUAACGCGUUCCACCACUCCACAGACCGUCGCCACCACUUCACCGUUGCGCUCUGCUGUUCCAUGUCCUUUGAGAAUACUGUCUUCGAGGCUGAUUGGGAUGGUAUCGGCGACGGUGACGGAAGCAUCAGAAUUGACCUUAGAAUGCAAAGACUCGAGCUUUUGCAGAGCUUUCUGUAAUCUUAUCUUUUGAGUUUGAUUCAAGGAUAGCUGUAUUUCUCUCAUCUUUCGUUAAUUUACCUCUUCUUCCUCCCCUCUACUCUCCUCUCCUCU
RNAcentral lists this unclassified non-coding RNA (4071 nucleotides) under Hevea brasiliensis (rubber tree). The record is from RNAcentral. Lineage: Eukaryota; Viridiplantae; Streptophyta; Magnoliopsida; Malpighiales; Euphorbiaceae.